RNAcentral lists this ribosomal RNA (375 nucleotides) under uncultured bacterium. RNAcentral's name for it is "bacterial SSU rRNA". It matches the Rfam family "Bacterial small subunit ribosomal RNA", at positions 521 to 896 of the family's 1533-position model. The record is from RNAcentral.
UAAUACGAAGGGGGCUAGCGUUGUUCGGAAUUACUGGGCGUAAAGCGCGCGCAGGCGGCCUUUCAAGUCGGUGGUGAAAUCCCAGAGCUCAACUCUGGAAUUGCCAUCGAAACUGUAAGGCUUGGGUACGGGAGAGGUGAGUGGAAUUCCGAGUGUAGAGGUGAAAUUCGUAGAUAUUCGGAAGAACACCAGUGGCGAAGGCGGCUCACUGGCCCGUUACCGACGCUCAGGCGCGACAGCGUGGGGAGCAAACAGGAUUAGAUACCCUGGUAGUCCACGCCGUAAACGAUGAUUGCUAGCCGUUGGUAAGCAUGCUUAUCAGUGGCGCAGCUAACGCAUUAAGCAAUCCGCCUGGGGAGUACGGCCGCAAGGUUG